Wasmannia auropunctata (little fire ant) is the source of this 516-nucleotide long non-coding RNA. RefSeq lists it as uncharacterized. The transcript has 2 exons. Lineage: Eukaryota; Metazoa; Arthropoda; Insecta; Hymenoptera; Formicidae. The record is from RefSeq and is a predicted model, not a curated record.
UGUUUUAUAGUUGUGAAGACUACUAUUAUGUUGACCAACAUGGAAGAUUUUAAUACUGUAAAUGAGGUCUAUAAAGAAUUUUUCACAACAAAUUAUCCAGCCAGGUGUACAUAUCAAGUUGCAAAGUUACCUCUGGUACAAUAAAAACAUUAUUUUACUAGUUAUAAUAAUAAAUUGCUAUUGCUAUAUCUAAGGAGAACAGAAAAAUCAUAAUAAUAUAUUAUAUAUUUGAUGUACGUCAUAUUAAUCGAAUUUAUGUCUUUUAUGUCAUGAAAUCUCGAUAUCAAAUGACUUAAAAUUGACUUUAUAUUGACUUUUUUUCUUAUAGUGUCGAUUUUAAAAAAAAAUGCAGUGUACGUAUUUCGGCAUUCAUAAAUCAUCAGGAAGCAUUAAUUUCCAGAUAGAAAGGUUAAGCAACGCUAGAUAGAAUUAAUAUGACUUGCAUCGAUGAUCGCUUAAAAACACUAUGAAGUGUGAAUAAAAGUUUCCAUGCAAAUACAUUUUUUAAAAUCAUAA